RNAcentral lists this ribosomal RNA (469 nucleotides) under uncultured bacterium. RNAcentral describes it as "partial 16S ribosomal RNA". It matches the Rfam family "Bacterial small subunit ribosomal RNA", at positions 28 to 507 of the family's 1533-position model. The record is from RNAcentral.
GACGAACGCUGGCGGCGUGCUUAACACAUGCAAGUCGAACGGAAAGGCCCUGCUUGCAGGGUGCUCGAGUGGCGAACGGGUGAGUAACACGUGGGUGAUCUGCCCCUUACUUUGGGAUAAGCCUGGGAAACUGGGUCUAAUACUGGAUAGGACCAUGCUGUAGGUGGUGUGGUGGAAAGAUUAGUUUCGGUAAGGGAUGAGCUCGCGGCCUAUCAGCUUGUUGGUGGGGUAAUGGCCUACCAAGGCGUCGACGGGUAGCCGGCCUGAGAGGGUGGACGGCCACAUUGGGACUGAGAUACGGCCCAGAAUCCUACGGGGGGCAGCAGUGGGGAAUAUUGCACAAUGGGCGCAAGCCUGAUGCAGCGACGCCGCGUGGGGGAUGACGGCCUUCGGGUUGUAAACUCCUUUCAGCCAUGACGAAGCCCUUGUGGUGACGGUAGUGGUAGAAGAAGCACCGGCUAACUACGUG